AGUCGAACGAAACACCUUAUUUGAUUUUCUUCGGAACUGAAGAUUUGGUGAUUGAGUGGCGGACGGGUGAGUAACGCGUGGGUAACCUACCCUGUACAGGGGGAUAACAGUCAGAAAUGACUGCUAAUACCGCAUAAGACCACAGCACCGCAUGGUGCAGGGGUAAAAACUCCGGUGGUACAGGAUGGACCCGCGUCUGAUUAGCUGGUUGGUGAGGUAACGGCUCACCAAGGCGACGAUCAGUAGCCGGCUUGAGAGAGUGAACGGCCACAUUGGGACUGAGACACGGCCCAAACUCCUACGGGAGGCAGCAGUGGGGAAUAUUGCACAAUGGGGGAAACCCUGAUGCAGCGACGCCGCGUGAGUGAAGAAGUAUCUCGGUAUGUAAAGCUCUAUCAGCAGGGAAGAAAAUGACGGUACCUGACUAAGAAGCCCCGGCUAACUACGUGCCAGCAGCCGCGGUAAUACGUAGGGGGCAAGCGUUAUCCGGAAUUACUGGGUGUAAAGGGUGCGUAGGUGGUAUGGCAAGUCAGAAGUGAAAACCCAGGGCUUAACUCUGGGACUGCUUUUGAAACUGUCAGACUGGAGUGCAGGAGAGGUAAGCGGAAUUCCUAGUGUAGCGGUGAAAUGCGUAGAUAUUAGGAGGAACAUCAGUGGCGAAGGCGGCUUACUGGACUGAAACUGACACU
This 689-nucleotide ribosomal RNA is filed under the name uncultured Lachnospiraceae bacterium. RNAcentral's name for it is "bacterial SSU rRNA". It matches the Rfam family "Bacterial small subunit ribosomal RNA", at positions 60 to 747 of the family's 1533-position model. Lineage: Bacteria; Bacillati; Bacillota; Clostridia; Lachnospirales; Lachnospiraceae. The record is from RNAcentral.